RNAcentral lists this ribosomal RNA (210 nucleotides) under uncultured bacterium. RNAcentral's name for it is "partial 16S ribosomal RNA". It matches the Rfam family "Bacterial small subunit ribosomal RNA", at positions 1290 to 1500 of the family's 1533-position model. The record is from RNAcentral.
AGUUCGGAUUGUAGGCUGCAACUCGCCUACAUGAAGUCGGAAUCGCUAGUAAUCGCGGAUCAGCAUGCCGCGGUGAAUACGUUCCCGGGCCUUGUACACACCGCCCGUCACACCAUGAGAGUUUGUAACACCCAAAGCCGGUGGGUAACCUUUUGGAGCCAGCCGUCUAAGGUGGGACAGAUGAUUGGGGUGAAGUCGUAACAAGGUAAC